GACAGAGGUGCCGAGCGUUAGGCGGAAUCACUGGGCUUAAAGCGUGUGUAGGCGGGUCGUUAAGUGUCUUGUGAAAUCCCCCGGCUCAACCGGGGAAUGGCUGGGCAUACUGGCGAUCUUGAGCAGUCUAGGGGCAGAUGGAACAAGUGGUGGAGCGGUGAAAUGCGUAGAUAUCACUUGGAACGCCAACGGUGAAGACAGUCUGCUGGGGACUUGCUGACGCUGAGGAGCGAAAGCAUGGGGAGCGAACAGG
Molecule: ribosomal RNA, 253 nt
Filed under: uncultured bacterium
Lineage: Bacteria
Description: partial 16S ribosomal RNA
Rfam family: Bacterial small subunit ribosomal RNA
Source: RNAcentral